Molecule: transfer RNA, 63 nt
Filed under: Anoplocephala perfoliata
Lineage: Eukaryota; Metazoa; Platyhelminthes; Cestoda; Cyclophyllidea; Anoplocephalidae
Description: tRNA-Gln
Source: RNAcentral
UUUAAUGAGGUGUAUUUUGCAUUUUGCAUUUUGAUUGCAAAGGAGGUUAGUUAUCCGUUAAUU